This 506-nucleotide ribosomal RNA is filed under the name uncultured bacterium. Its description in RNAcentral is "partial 16S ribosomal RNA". It matches the Rfam family "Bacterial small subunit ribosomal RNA", at positions 29 to 523 of the family's 1533-position model. The record is from RNAcentral.
AUUGAACGCUGGCGGCAGGCCUAACACAUGCAAGUCGAACGGCAGCGGGGGGUAGCUUGCUACCCCGCCGGCGAGUGGCGGACGGGUGAGUAAUGCCUGGGGAGCUGCCCAAUCGAGGGGGAUACCAGUUGGAAACGACUGCUAAUACCGCAUACGCCCUGAGGGGGAAAGGUGGGGAUCUUCGGACCUACCGCGAUUGGAUGCACCCAAGUGGGAUUAGCUAGUUGGUGAGGUAACGGCUCACCAAGGCGACGAUCUCUAGCUGGUCUGAGAAGAUGACCAGCCACACGGGAACUGAGACACGGUCCAGACUCCUACGGGAGGCAGCAGUGGGGAAUAUUGCACAAUGGGGGAAACCCUGAUGCAGCCAUGCCGCGUGUGUGAAGAAGGCCUUAGGGUUGUAGAGCACUUUCAGUGGGGAGGAAAGGGUGGAAGCUAAUACCUUUCAUCUGUGACGUUACCCACAGAAGAAGCACCGGCUAACUCCGUGCCAGCAGCCGCAGUAA